GAAACUGCGAAUGGCUCAUUAAAUCAGUUAUGGUUUCUUUGAUGGUACCUUGCUACUUGGAUACCCGUAGUAAUUCUAGAGCUAAUACAUGCAGGAAUGCCCGACUUCGGAAGGGCUGUAUUUAUUAGAUAAGAAACCUUCUCGGGUUCGCCCGGUUGUGUGCUGAGUCAUAAUAACUGCUCGAAUCGCACGGCUCUACGCCGGCGAUGGUUCAUUCAAAUUUCUGCCCUAUCAGCUUUCGAUGGUAGGAUAGAGGCCUACCAUGGCGUUAACGGGUAACGGAGAAUUAGGGUUCGAUUCCGGAGAGGGAGCCUGAGAAAUGGCUACCACAUCCAAGGAAGGCAGCAGGCGCGUAAAUUGCCCGAAUCCUGACACAGGGAGGUAGUGACAAGAAAUAACAAUACAGGGCUACUUCUAGUCUUGUAAUUGGAAUGAGUACAACUUACAUCUCUUCACGAGGAUCAAUUGGAGGGCAAGUCUGGUGCCAGCAGCCGCGGUAAUUCCAGCUCCAAAAGCGUAUAUUAAAGUUGUUGCAGUUAAAACGCUCGUAGUCGGGUUUCGGGUCGGGCCGAGCGGUUUGCCGAUGGGUAUGCACUGUUUGGCGCGGCCUUCUUUCCGGAGACCGCGGCUACUCUUAACUGAGCGGGCGUGGGAGACGGAUCGUUUACUUUGAAAAAAUCAGAGUGUUUCAAGCAGGCAGCUCGCUCUUGCAUGGUACAGCAUGGGAUGAUUGAAUAGGACUCCGGUGCUAUUUUGUUGGUUUCGAACACCAGGAGUAAUGAUUAACAGGGACAGUCAGGGGCACUCGUAUUCCGUCGAGAGAGGUGAAAUUCUCAGACCAAUGGAAGACGAACCACUGCGAAAGCAUUUGCCAGGGAUGUUUUCACUGAUCAAGAACGAAAGUUAGGGGAUCGAAGACGAUCAGAUACCGUCGUA
This 936-nucleotide ribosomal RNA is filed under the name uncultured eukaryote. Its description in RNAcentral is "SSU rRNA". It matches the Rfam family "Eukaryotic small subunit ribosomal RNA", at positions 83 to 1022 of the family's 1831-position model. The record is from RNAcentral.